Molecule: unclassified non-coding RNA, 365 nt
Filed under: fungal sp.
Lineage: Eukaryota; Fungi
Description: partial internal transcribed spacer region
Rfam family: Eukaryotic small subunit ribosomal RNA (bases 1-46)
Source: RNAcentral
AAGUCGUAACAAGGUUUCCGUAGGUGAACCUGCGGAAGGAUCAUUAACACGUAUCCAACGUUAAACAACCCUGUGAACUUUAAGUCCCCUCUUGCAGCCCAUGAGGAACAGCAAUCCCGGUAAAUCAUUGCCAAACAGUUUUGAUUCGGGACCUCUGUCCAAAACCCCAAGCAGUUAGUGAAUGACAGUGUCACUGACUGUGUAAGGAUAACGCCUCACGGUUGCUAGAGGUCGAUCACCGACCGGCAGACAUGUCACAGGGUCACCACGCCCCUUAAUCACUCCACUUGAAAAUGCCCCGCCUAGUGGUAACGCGCUAGGUAAAAAAAACCGAACAACUGUUAACAAUGGAUAUCUUGGUUCUC